Molecule: long non-coding RNA, 1546 nt
Filed under: Betta splendens (Siamese fighting fish)
Lineage: Eukaryota; Metazoa; Chordata; Actinopteri; Anabantiformes; Osphronemidae
Description: lncRNA (ENSBSLG00000020875.1)
Source: RNAcentral
CUGGUGGAACCAGGUUGUGUUAAACUCUAUGUUUAACAAAUGUGAAGCUUAAACCAGGCGUCAAUAGACACAUGUAGAGAUUCACUAGACUCAAGCUGAAGCUACGUUUAGUUAUGUGAUGGUAUAUGUUGUUAGUAUGACGUUUGCUAUGACUGAAUGUUGAAAGUUAAACAAUGUGUCACAGUUAGAAAAUGUUAAACAGUCUCAUGAUAGCGAUGCUGAACAAUGAGCGACAUUAAAUAUGAGAAGAAAAAGUGAAACUAAAUAUAUAGAAAAAAACAUAAAUAUGUAACAAAUUAACAUCAUGUCUCAGACUCAAGAUGAAGAUAUAAUAAUAAUAAUAAUAAUAAUAAUAAUAAUAAUAAUAAUAAUAAUAAUAAUAAUAAUAAUAAUAAUAAUAAUAAUAAUAAUAAUAAUAAUAAUAAUAAUAAUCAACUGUAGCAUAAACAGUUUAGACCCAGAAAAGAUAAUAUAAUAUAAUCAGACCUAUUAAAACAUCAGAAUCUAACAAGUUAUACAUUUUUUCGUUCAUUGGUUUCACUGAGCAGAUGCUUUAGUAUAUAUUCAGAUGCUUUAGUAUAUAUUUAUUACCAGUCCCCAUGUCACAUAUUUACACAAUAUGUCUGACGACACUUUAUCUUCGUCCAUGUGCAGAAUCGUCCCCGUCAAAGCCAAAUCUGGCGGUUCUGAGUCCGCUGCUGCCUCGCAACUGGGUUGGCGACCCAAAGGACCUGCCCCCCGAGGUUUGUCUGGCCACCAACUUCCGUCCGAGACAGGGUCAGAUGGUUCUGAAUGUUAACAAUGGGCCGGACUUUGUGAACACCAGCAGCGCGGUUCUGUCCAAAAAACAGAAAAGCUACGUCUUCGCUGGAUUCAGCAACAGAACCAUUUACUCCUGUGAGCUGCACGACUCCGUGUCCAACAACGAACAAAUUGACCUCUGUGACGACAUCUAUCCUGGAAAAGCUAGGCUCAACUUCCUUCUGCUGCUGAUGAAUGGAGCCCGACUUGUGUUCACUAAGACUCUGGCCUUCAACACCGUUCUGACCAUCAGAGCCAUGAUGUUCUAAGGCCCGCUGGACCCGGACCCAGUUGGCUGAUGGAUCUGAGGGUCGCAUGGCCACCAAACGGUUGAGAAACAACCACAGAUACGAUGAGAACAAAUCGUCAUUAUUUGGUUCUGCUUUGAUCGACUCGACUCGAGUGAAUUAGGAUUUGACGUUGAUCUUUUCUGCUAGUUUUAGUUUUGUUUGUCACUAAUUAAACGUUUUACAUUUAAAAACAAUGAAACAGACUGAGUCUUGAUUUUUGAGCUUUGGUGCCCUUCUUGUGUGGACCUGACCUGUGCAGGACCAGCACUCAAACCCGCAACCUUGACCCAAUGGUGUGUGAGCCAUGUGGUAAGUUAGCGCCAGCAGCUGGAUGGUGGUUCUGCUCAUACUUCUUCAGCUCAGGGUCCAGUUUUCUGUUGCUAAUGUCUUGUGGUUUUGUUUUCUUUGUGUGUGUUGACAAUAAAUCGACUUCACCUCAGACUCUAGUUUGUCUC